AAUAAAGUGCCUGAAUAAAGGAUUAUCGUGAUAGGAUAAAUAAUGUAAUUUUUAUUACCUUUAUUA
This 66-nucleotide transfer RNA is filed under the name Hebardina concinna. RNAcentral describes it as "tRNA-Ile". Lineage: Eukaryota; Metazoa; Arthropoda; Insecta; Blattodea; Blattidae. The record is from RNAcentral.